GACGAACGCUGGCGGCGUGCCUAAUACAUGCAAGUAGAACGCGUUGCGAACGGGUGAGUAACACGUGGUAACCUGCCUCGUAGCGGGGGAUAACUAUUGGAAACGAGAGCUAAUACCCCCUACUUUUGGCUGGACCUGAUUUGGAUGAGCUAGUUGGUGAGGUAAAGGCUCACCAAGGCGACGAGACAUAGCCGACCUGAGAGGGUGAUCGGCAACACUGGGACUGAGACACGGCCCAGACUCCUACGGGAGGCAGCAGUAGGGAAUAUUGCACAAUGGGCGCAAGCCUGAUGCAGCCAUGCCGCGUGUAUGAAGAAGGCCUUCGGGUUGUAAAGUACUUUCAGCGGGGAGGCGUUACCCGCAGAAGAAGCACCGGCUAACUCCGUGCCAGCAGCCGCGGUAAUUC
This 406-nucleotide ribosomal RNA is filed under the name uncultured bacterium. Its description in RNAcentral is "partial 16S ribosomal RNA". It matches the Rfam family "Bacterial small subunit ribosomal RNA", at positions 28 to 526 of the family's 1533-position model. The record is from RNAcentral.